This 301-nucleotide ribosomal RNA is filed under the name uncultured bacterium. RNAcentral's name for it is "partial 16S ribosomal RNA". It matches the Rfam family "Bacterial small subunit ribosomal RNA", at positions 509 to 809 of the family's 1533-position model. The record is from RNAcentral.
CAGUAGCCGCGGUAACACGUAGGGUGCGAGCGUUAAUCGGAAUUACUGGGCGUAAAGCGUGCGCAGGCGGUUGUGUAAGACAGGUGUGAAAUCCCCGGGCUUAAUCUGGGAACUGCGCUUGUGACUGCACAGCUAGAGUAUGGCAGAGGGGGGUGGAAUUCCACGUGUAGCAGUGAAAUGCGUAGAGAUGUGGAGGAACACCGGUGGCGAAGGCAGCCCCCUGGGCCAAUACUGACGCUCAUGCAUGAAAGCGUGGGGAGCAAACAGGAUUAGAUACCCCGGUAGUCCCUGUCUCUUAUCC